AAUGAUGAAAUUUUCUAUAUCUGACUCCUUAGCCAUAAAAUCUAAAACAUUACUAACGAUUUCCUGUCCUUGUCGAUGCAGACUCUUAUUUUUUACAAAAGACAUUUUCACUUAUGUUUAAUCCAAAGUAUGCCUACAGUAUUUAGUCUAGAUCUAUUGGGUUACAGCCUUCUAUACAAGCACUGGCCUACGCUCCUCUUUUUGAAUGGUGGUUUCACCCAGUACCAACUGUGCAUGCGCUUCCAUAUAUCAAUCUAUCUGGAACGAACUAUACUGAAAUUGCCAUCUUAGGUUAUUGCUGGGAAAUAAUAUGAUGGUUAUUCUGAUUGCUGG
This 333-nucleotide long non-coding RNA is filed under the name Androctonus crassicauda. The record is from RNAcentral. Lineage: Eukaryota; Metazoa; Arthropoda; Arachnida; Scorpiones; Buthidae.